Molecule: long non-coding RNA, 1007 nt
Filed under: Homo sapiens (human)
Lineage: Eukaryota; Metazoa; Chordata; Mammalia; Primates; Hominidae
Description: non-protein coding lnc-WRNIP1-38:1
Source: RNAcentral
AGCAGCUGAAUCUCAGUGGCCAUGACAGCAAGGCAACAACGGGGCCAGCUCCCCAAGGUCCAUAUUUAUCUUAAUUCCAAGGCCAGAAUUCAGGUAGGAAGCCACAAAAACCAAUCUGCAGCUAAUUGAAUCAGAAAUCUAUGAAAGGUACAGUGCAGACUGAAGAAGAUGACUGAGAGGCUUCAUAAUGAGGAACAGCACCCAAAAUCACGCUGCGGAACAGCUCUCAGAGAACAGCACUGCAGUGACAGAGACGGCACCACUGCAGCACCAGCGCCGGUGCAGGACUGGAUGCUCAUGCACAUCUCAGGCCUCCAGAUGCCCGCGACCUUCUCCCCUUCAGCCUCUUCCAUAACCACACUACUCCUUUCCUCCAUCGGCUUCUCCCCUGACUGCACAGAAGCCCAUUUCCCCACCAUGACGAAAAAAAACCUUUCCCAGAUCUAAGGCAAAGGGAAAAACAUACAAGACAGAAUGUAAAUUUGUGCUGCCAGGGGCUGGGAAAGGAGGGGAUGGGGAGUGACUGAUGAAUGGGUAUGGGCUCUCCUUCCGGAGUGAUCAAAAAGUGUUCUGGAACUAGAGUGGUAAAGAAGGUACGACCUCGUAAAUGUACUAAAUGUCAGUAAUGAUAAAUUGUAUGUUACAUGUUACCACCAAAACAACAAAAACAUCUCUGGCCUCCCUCAGAUUCCACGAUAUUACUCAGUACUUUUGUUCUCUCUCCUCUCCCCUCCCUCCCUAGCUUCCUUCUCUUCCAAGCCUGAAAUGCAAACAUUUUCCUCCUCCUCACUCUCAUCCUUCUGUCUCCACAUUCUCUCAUUUGGAGAUAUCAUCUAUGAUCAGUAGCAAUUCCACUAUCCACCCUAAGGAAGAGAGCUCUACAGCAAACCUUAGAAAACUUUUUCAGUGAAGGGCCAGAGAGUAAACAUUUCAGGCUUUCAAAGCCACAUGGUCUCUGUUGCAGCUAUUUAACUCUAUGUGGAAGCAGCCAGAAACAAUAAGUAAAC